GACGAACGCUGGCGGCACGCUUAACACAUGCAAGUCGAACGAGAGAAGAGAAGCUUGCUUUUCUGAUCUAGUGGCGGACGGGUGAGUAACACGUGAGCAAUCUGCCUUUCAGAGGGGGAUACCGAUUGGAAACGAUCGUUAAUACCGCAUAACAUAAUUGAACCGCAUGAUUUGAUUAUCAAAGAUUUAUCGCUGAAAGAUGAGCUCGCGUCUGAUUAGCUAGUUGGUAAGGUAACGGCUUACCAAGGCGACGAUCAGUAGCCGGACUGAGAGGUUGAUCGGCCACAUUGGGACUGAGACACGGCCCAGACUCCUACGGGAGGCAGCAGUGGGGAAUAUUGCACAAUGGAGGAAACUCUGAUGCAGCGAUGCCGCGUGAGGGAAGAAGGUUUUAGGAUUGUAAACCUCUGUUUUCAGGGACGAAAAAAGACGGUACCUGAGGAGGAAGCUCCGGCUAACUACGUGCCAGCAGCCGCGGUAAUACGUAGGGAGCGAGCGUUGUCCGGAAUUACUGGGUGUAAAGGGAGCGUAGGCGGGAUCGCAAGUCAGAUGUGAAAACUAUGGGCUUAACCCAUAAACUGCAUUUGAAACUGUGGUUCUUGAGUGAAGUAGAGGUAAGCGGAAUUCCUAGUGUAGCGGUGAAAUGCGUAGAUAUUAGGAGGAACAUCAGUGGCGAAGGCGGCUUACUGGGCUUUAACUGACGCUGAGGCUCGAAAGCGUGGGGAGCAAACAGGAUUAGAUACCCUGGUAGUCCACGCCGUAAACGAUGAUUACUAGGUGUGGGGGGAGUGACCCCCUCCGUGCCGCAGCAAACGCAAUAAGUAAUCCACCUGGGGAGUACGACCGCAAGGUUGAAACUCAAAGGAAUUGACGGGGGCCCGCACAAGCAGUGGAGUAUGUGGAUUAAUUUGAAGCAACGCGAAGAACCUUACCAGGUCUUGACAUCGUAUGCAUAGCUCAGAGAUGAGUGAAAUCUCUUCGGAGACAUAUAGACAGGUGGUGCAUGGUUGUCGUCAGCUCGUGUCGUGAGAUGUUGGGUUAAGUCCCGCAACGAGCGCAACCCUUACUGUUAGUUGCUACGCAAGAGCACUCUAGCAGGACUGCCGUUGACAAAACGGAGGAAGGUGGGGAUGACGUCAAAUCAUCAUGCCCCUUAUGACCUGGGCCUCACACGUACUACAAUGGCUGUCAACAGAGGGAUGCAAAGCCGCGAGGUGGAGCGAACCCCUAAAAGCAGUCUUAGUUCGGAUUGUAGGCUGCAACCCGCCUACAUGAAGUCGGAAUUGCUAGUAAUCGCAGAUCAGCAUGCUGCGGUGAAUAAGUUCCCGGGCCUUGCAC
RNAcentral lists this ribosomal RNA (1338 nucleotides) under uncultured bacterium. RNAcentral's name for it is "16S ribosomal RNA". It matches the Rfam family "Bacterial small subunit ribosomal RNA", at positions 28 to 1386 of the family's 1533-position model. The record is from RNAcentral.